UACGAGAGGCCCAAACGUUAUUCGGAAUUACUGGGCUUAAAGAGUCCGUAGGCGGCGCAGAAAGUAGGGUGUGAAAUCCCUCGGCUUAACCGAGGAAUUGCGCUCUAAACUACUGUGCUUGAGGAACCUAGAGGUGAGCGGAACUGAUGGUGGAGCGGUGAAAUGCGUUGAUAUCAUCAGGAACACCGGAGGCGAAGGCGGCUCACUGGGGGUUAUCUGACGCUGAGGGACGAAAGCCAGGGGAGCGAACGGG
This 253-nucleotide ribosomal RNA is filed under the name uncultured Pasteuria sp. Its description in RNAcentral is "partial 16S ribosomal RNA". It matches the Rfam family "Bacterial small subunit ribosomal RNA", at positions 524 to 776 of the family's 1533-position model. The record is from RNAcentral. Lineage: Bacteria; Bacillati; Bacillota; Bacilli; Caryophanales; Pasteuriaceae.